UUUUUUUUUUUUUUUGGCUUAAAAAACAUUGCCCAUGGAAUUUAAAGACUUUGGGGUUAUUAAAGUUACUAAAACUGCUUUUUAAGUGAGUAAAGGAAAGCAGAAGACUUGGUUUGUGAUAUAUUUUCAUAGAAAGAUGAGACUCUUCCUGACUGUAUGGUGUGUAUUCUAGUCUAGAUUUUGGUUUGAAGAGUUCCCAUUGCUUUAUCUGAAAUCCUGUGCUGUGUCAAAAUUGGCUGGUCUGUUUUUCAUUGCUUCUGAAUAUAAUGUAAACAUUGCAUUCAUUUCAAUUUAGCCCAAUUGAGUAAAUUUUUUUUCUAGAACUUGUCGGUGGGCAUGACCUUUAUAGCUUGUCUUUUGAAAUUAUUAUUAAUAUAUAUAUAUAUAUUUUUGCCAGAAUGGUAGUUUUCCUUUGGACUCAGGAGGAAUUUAGAGGUCCAGAGGUUAUUGGUAUGAGAGGAGCACUAUCGAAAAGGUUUGAAUUUCUAUCUUCUCUUAAAAGAAUGAUGCUGCCAAUCAAUCAGUGUUUUGUUUCCACAUAAGAAGUGUCACGAGUCAGUUGAUCUAUCAUCCUUGACCUGGAAGAAGAGACUGUUCCUUGCCAUUUCUGUCAUUCCCAGUAAAACGUCACUUACAAGGUAACCUUUACCAAAAGAGAAGCUCCAAAAAAGAACAAAGUAAUCAAGAUAAUUCAGUAACUGUUGAAAAUAGUAAUCUAUCUCAAAGGCAAUGAAGAUCAGUUAAAUUUUAUUAAGCAUGAAAUACUUCUAAAAAAGAAGUGGAAAUUCAAGCCAUUGAUUUUUUUUUUUUUCUGACAUGAUUCCCUGUAUAGAGAUCUAUAUCUAUAUCUUCACAUAGGUAUAGACAUGUAGAUACACACACGACUUAGCUGUAACAGGAGUUUAAAUAUCAAGUAAAAAAUGUUGUUAGUCAUGUUUUCCAAUUUGUGGGUUAUAUAAUGUUAACUUUAGAUGUUAAUUUCUUAACAAAUGCUAUAGGUUGCAUACAUUAUAUCAAACCAACCACCUUUGGGAAUGUCUAUAUAAAUAAACUCUUGAGACUUCAAACAUAUGAAAAGGUGGGUUCUACUGUGUACAUUUUAUUGGAAAGCCAUUGAUGAUUGAAGAGCAUAAAUAGGUGGGGCAUUUAAUUUCCAUUUUCCAAACGGCUUGUUUUUUGACUCUGCUCAAGCAUCAUGGGUAGAGUACCGUUAUUCCUGAACUCUUGCACAAGUUUCCUUGCACAGUUGGGCCAAUGGGUUGUUGUAUUUUUUUUUUUUUCAGGAUUCACUGCCUGGGGUAUCCCACUAUGUAUAUCUCACUUAUGAUGUAGUGGUGCUUGAAAACCCUCAUCUCGUUAGCUGGACUUUUAUUAUUCUAGUCUAAGAUUUUUGAUACUAUUCAUAUUAUGAUCUCUUUAGGGACAAUCAGUAAUAUUUGGGGCAGAGUACAGAGGAGUCUCUUGAAGUCUGCAACAGCAUGCAUUUUCUUUGUUUUUCUGGGGGUGCUCUCUUAUAGUUGUCCCUGUUCUUCUAGAACAUUGCUCUAAAUUCAUCACCAUGGGAUGUAGGGCUAGUAGCCCAUGUGCAAGUUUUCUGUAUUCUCCCUGUGAGUUACUGGGUUAUUCUAACAAGAGUUCCAAGGAAUGUUCAAUUUUUAAUUUGACAUUUGCUUUUUGAGAAUCUGGAAGUAGACAAUUGAAUGUGAGGGUGGUAAAGGAGCAUGGGCAGUAGGAAGGAGGAGAUAAGAGGGAAAAAAAUGCCCCCUUAAAGGAGGAGCAAAUAGCAACCUCAAUCUAUGUCAUCUGUAUUUAAAUCGUGGGAGGACAAGAAUAGCUGCUGCCAUGCACCAAGCUUCAGAAAACAACUGGAGAGAAAAAUUCUGUCUGGGAGCAGUGGAGAUGUGGCCUCAGGUCUAGAGCAAAAUAGAUAGGCAGAUGUGCCCAAGACAGUAAGAAGAUACUUGCCUAAAAGGAGAGAAAUCUGUAAUGGGAUCACAAGUUAAGACAAAAUAUAUAGGAGCUAAAGAGCCGUCGUGGAUGACUAGGAGUAAUGUAGACAAGCACAAUUGGUCCUUCUAGAACAGCCUGCCAAAUUCCAUUCCAGAUGUUUCAGUUGAAGACAUAGGGAAUGGGUUCAGCUGAUGAGAGAAUGCAAGGAGGCCCCCCGGCGUUCUCUGCACACUAGACGCUCUAGAGUUGGUUGCUGAGUCAUUACAAACUAAUACCACCCUCUUACCAGUGAAAUGCAGUGCCCCUGCCUGUGGAUGUUUCCCAACUGAGUAGGUCAAUAGUAUUGGAAGACUCAUUCAAGAAUAUUUUCGUUUUUCAAUCCUGAUUGUUGUCAUUUCUUCUAUUUUCUUUAUUCCUGUUUGCCUCACUUGACAGUUGCAGGUGGGGAGGCUGGUUUCAGCUUGGGGUGGGUACAAACUCCCCAACCCAAGCCAUGCAGCUGGUGAACAGGGUUCCCGCCAUUUCUUCCAGCCCCACUGGUGGGUUCCCCGGCCCUCUUGAUACCUAAUACUCCAGUCAAAUGGCUAGAUUAAUGCUGCUCUAGAGGCUAACUCAAGUCCUUGACAUGUUUCAUUUACAAGUAUGUGGAUUAUUUAUUUUAGGAGCUUUUCUUUUAAAGGGCCAAAUAGCCCUACAGAUAAAUGAGCUGCUGGGCUGUGUAGAAAAUAUUGUUCAAAUGUUGCCAAAUAAUUGACUUUGUAAGGGGGAUAUUAAGCUGCUGUUUAUAAAUCUGAAUGUCUUAAAAGCAUUCUUGCUUGCUCUCUCUGUUGUAGAUGGUGUCUUAGCAAGUCCUGAGUUUUUCCAAUGAACCCAAUUUUAAUAUAUGGUAUUUUUGUAUGCCAAACUGGUGUCUUGUCCUUUGUAUAUGUGGUAAUGUUGAUUUUAUGACUACUGUUAAAACACAUUUGCUAUGAUUAAAAUUCAUAAAACGAUUUCAAA
RNAcentral lists this long non-coding RNA (2949 nucleotides) under Canis lupus familiaris (dog). RNAcentral's name for it is "lncRNA (ENSCAFG00845000119.1)". The record is from RNAcentral. Lineage: Eukaryota; Metazoa; Chordata; Mammalia; Carnivora; Canidae.